This 70-nucleotide transfer RNA is filed under the name Haliotis asinina. Its description in RNAcentral is "tRNA-Gln". Lineage: Eukaryota; Metazoa; Mollusca; Gastropoda; Lepetellida; Haliotidae. The record is from RNAcentral.
UGUGGGGUAGUAUAUCGAGUACGUUAGGUUUUGGUCCUGAAAGUGGAAGUUAUAAUUCUUCUUCCCGCAG